RNAcentral lists this ribosomal RNA (318 nucleotides) under Paenibacillus kribbensis. RNAcentral describes it as "bacterial SSU rRNA". It matches the Rfam family "Bacterial small subunit ribosomal RNA", at positions 97 to 408 of the family's 1533-position model. Lineage: Bacteria; Bacillati; Bacillota; Bacilli; Caryophanales; Paenibacillaceae. The record is from RNAcentral.
GGCGGACGGGUGAGUAACACGUAGGCAACCUGCCCACAAGACAGGGAUAACUACCGGAAACGGUAGCUAAUACCCGAUACAUCCUUUUCCUGCAUGGGAGAAGGAGGAAAGACGGAGCAAUCUGUCACUUGUGGAUGGGCCUGCGGCGCAUUAGCUAGUUGGUGGGGUAAAGGCCUACCAAGGCGACGAUGCGUAGCCGACCUGAGAGGGUGAUCGGCCACACUGGGACUGAGACACGGCCCAGACUCCUACGGGAGGCAGCAGUAGGGAAUCUUCCGCAAUGGGCGAAAGCCUGACGGAGCAACGCCGCGUGAGUGA